ACUGAGGCCCAGGACAUUGCUCAAGAUCCUACAACUCAGCUGGGCUGAGAGUCAGGGGCACAGCUGGGAUUCAAACCUUCAUUCAUUGGGCCUUCAAGUCCACUCUCCUUCCAGUGGCCAUACUAUAGUAGAAAGUAUGUAGGACAUUUGGGAUUUCCAGUGACAGACUCUCCCAGUGCAGGGGCCCGGGUUCGGUCCUUAGGGAACUAGAUGCUGCAUGCCACAAGGAAGAUCGAAGAUCCUGCAACUAAGACCCGAUGCAGCCAAAUAAAGUGCUGACCCUGCCACUGGCUGGCACUUCAGACCUGCAUUCAUGUGAAAUGCUGUGCUCAAGACUUCAGCUCGUGGCCAUGUGCAGAGACGCCUCCACCCACACGUACACCAUGAUUCAAGAUGGCACCAGUAAGCCACAUGCAGAGACGUGCACCCAGGCACUGCGAGAGCUCCAGUGGGUUCUGGGAGAGCACAGCUGCACCAGACUUGUCAGAGCUCUCUCCCCUCUCUGCUGACAAGAUCCUUAUAAAACAGCCCUGCUGCUGCUAAGUCGCUUCAGUUGUGUCCGACUCUGCAACCCCAUAGACGGCAGCCCACCAGGCUCCCCUGUCCCUGGGAUUCUCCAGGCAAGAAUACUGGAGUGGGUUGCCAUUGCCUUCUCCAAUGCAUGAAAGUGAAAAGUGAAAGUGAAGUCGCUCAGUCGUGUCCAACUCCUAGCGACCCCAUGGACUGCAGCCUACCAGGCUCCUCCAUCCAUGGGAUUUUCCAGGCAAGAGUACUGGAGUGGGGUGCCAUCGCCUUCUCCGUAUAAAACAGCCCUACUGAAGGCCUUUCAGGAAGAUCUUGUACCCAGGAGUACUAGCGAACAACUCUCCAUUC
Molecule: long non-coding RNA, 873 nt
Organism: Bos taurus (domestic cattle)
Lineage: Eukaryota; Metazoa; Chordata; Mammalia; Artiodactyla; Bovidae
Source: Ensembl